This 85-nucleotide transfer RNA is filed under the name uncultured Victivallis sp. It matches the Rfam family "tRNA". From Rfam's summary of the family: Transfer RNA (tRNA) molecules are approximately 80 nucleotides in length. Their secondary structure includes four short double-helical elements and three loops (D, anti-codon, and T loops). The record is from RNAcentral. Lineage: Bacteria; Pseudomonadati; Lentisphaerota; Lentisphaeria; Victivallales; Victivallaceae.
GAGAGAUGGCUGAGUGGUCGAAGGCGACGGUCUCGAAAAUCGUUAUACCCUUCCGGGUAUCGAGGGUUCGAAUCCCUCUCUCUCC